RNAcentral lists this non-coding RNA (746 nucleotides) under Klebsormidium karooense. Its description in RNAcentral is "sequence contains ITS1, 5.8S rRNA gene, ITS2, 28S rRNA gene". The stretch from base 348 to 501 matches the Rfam family "5.8S ribosomal RNA". Lineage: Eukaryota; Viridiplantae; Streptophyta; Klebsormidiophyceae; Klebsormidiales; Klebsormidiaceae. The record is from RNAcentral.
ACACACAUCCUAACCGAUGCUUGUGCCAACAAGCAAACCCAGCGAACCUAAUCUCCUACCACUUGAGGGGCUGCAUCGCGAGGUGCAGCUGUCGGCGGCCGGGCCCUAGCUUAGGGGGCCGGAGUCCUUGCUGGGCUCACCGUUGCGGGUGAGCUUCGGCCGUUCGACGGGGGCCGCUCUUGGGUCUCGCACACGGGAGAGUGCGAGGGCGGCGUUUCCCCCUCCAGCCGUCCCUUCGGGGGCGGCUGCGCAACCCAACCAAACACCAUGCAACAACCGACUAAAGACCGAUUCUUUGCGGGGGCGCCUUCGGGAGCUUCCGCCUAGGAUCAAAACAAACUAAAGACAACUCUCAACAACGGAUAUCUUGGCUCUCGCAACGAUGAAGAACGCAGCGAAAUGCGAUACGUAGUGUGAAUUGCAGAAUUCCGUGAAUCAUCGAAUCUUUGAACGCAUAUUGCGCCCGCGGCUUCGGCCAAGGGCAUGUCUGCCUGAGCGUCAUUAUAACACCUCACACCCCUUCUUGGGGCGUGGAUCUGGCCGUCCGGGCUCCUAGAGCCUGGUCGGCUGAAAGGCAGAUGCAAAGCCAGCAGCCCAUUCAACGGCAAGGCGUGGUAGACCGCAUCGCGGGCGAUCGUCGUGCCGGGGCUGAUUGCGGCUUUCGCAUUAGCAGGAACCGCCGACUUCCGGACGGACUUCGGCCUGAAGGAGCCGGCCUUGACCCAUUGACCUCAGAUCAGGCAAGA